UGCAUGGCUGUCGUCAGCUCGUGUUGUGAAAUGUUGGGUUAAGUCCCGCAACGAGCGCAACCCUUAUCCUUUGUUGCCAGCGGUUCGGCCGGGAACUCAAAGGAGACUGCCGGUGAUAAACCGGAGGAAGGUGGGGAUGACGUCAAGUCAUCAUGGCCCUUACGACCAGGGCUACACACGUGCUACAAUGGCGCAUACAAAGAGAAGCGACCUCGCGAGAGCAAGCGGACCUCAUAAAGUGCGUCGUAGUCCGGAUUGGAGUCUGCAACUCGACUCCAUGAAGUCGGAAUCGCUAGUAAUCGUGGAUCAGAAUGCCACGGUGAAUACGUUCCCGGGCCUUGUACACACCGCCCGUCACACCAUGGGAGUGGGUUGCAAAAGAAGUAGGUAGCUUAACCUU
RNAcentral lists this ribosomal RNA (400 nucleotides) under Cronobacter sakazakii. RNAcentral's name for it is "bacterial SSU rRNA". It matches the Rfam family "Bacterial small subunit ribosomal RNA", at positions 1042 to 1442 of the family's 1533-position model. Lineage: Bacteria; Pseudomonadati; Pseudomonadota; Gammaproteobacteria; Enterobacterales; Enterobacteriaceae. The record is from RNAcentral.